This 468-nucleotide ribosomal RNA is filed under the name uncultured bacterium. RNAcentral's name for it is "partial 16S ribosomal RNA". It matches the Rfam family "Bacterial small subunit ribosomal RNA", at positions 28 to 507 of the family's 1533-position model. The record is from RNAcentral.
GACGAACGCUGGCGGCGUGCUUAACACAUGCAAGUCGAACGGAAAGGCCCUGCUUUUGUGGGGUGCUCGAGUGGCGAACGGGUGAGUAACACGCGAGUAACCUGUCCUUGACUUUGGGAUAACUUCAGGAAACUGGGGCUAAUACCGGAUAGGAGCUCCUGCUGCAUGGUGGGGGUUGGAAAGUUUCGGCGGUUGGGGAUGGACUCGCGGCUUAUCAGCUUGUUGGUGGGGUAGUGGCUUACCAAGGCUUUGACGGGUAGCCGGCCUGGGAGGGUGACCGGCCACAUUGGGACUGAGGUACGGCCCAGACUCCUACGGGCGGCAGCAGUGGGGAAUAUUGCACAGUGGGCGGGCGCCUGAUGCAGAGACGCCGCGUGCGGGAUGCCGGCCUUCGGGUUGUAAACCGCUUUCGCCUGUGACGAAGCGUGAGUGACGGUAAUGGGUAAAGAAGCACCGGCUAACUACGUG